This 118-nucleotide small RNA is filed under the name Marmota monax (woodchuck). The record is from RNAcentral. Lineage: Eukaryota; Metazoa; Chordata; Mammalia; Rodentia; Sciuridae.
GCUGGUCACAGUGGCAUAUGCCUGAAGUCCCAGCUAUUCAGGAGGCUGAGGCAUGAGGAUCACUUGAGCCCAGGAGUUCAAGAUCAGCCUGGGCAACAUAGCAGGACCCUCUACUCUU